RNAcentral lists this ribosomal RNA (1493 nucleotides) under metagenome. RNAcentral's name for it is "bacterial SSU rRNA". It matches the Rfam family "Bacterial small subunit ribosomal RNA". The record is from RNAcentral.
AGAGUUUGAUCCUGGCUCAGAACGAACGUUGGCGACGUGGUUUAGGCAUGCAAGUCGAACGAGAAAGCGGUCUUCGGAUCGUGAGUACAGUGGCGAACUGGUGAGUAACAGGUGGGCAAUGUACCUCUUAGUGGGGGAUAACACUUGGAAACAGGUGCUAAUACCGCAUAUGGCGCGAAGGUGUUGGCUUUUGCGUCAAAGAUGCACUUCGGUGUGUCGCUAGGAGAUCAGCCCGUCCCCGAUUAGCUUGUUGGUAGGGUAAUGGCCUACCAAGGCUUUGAUCGGUAGGUGGCCUGAGAGGGUGGUCACCCACACUGGGACUGAGAUACGGCCCAGACUCCUACGGGAGGCAGCAGUCUAGAAGCUUCUACAAUGGGCGAAAGCCUGAUAGAGCGACGCCGCGUGCGGGAUUGAAGGCCGUGAGGUCGUAAACCGCUGUCAGCAGGGAAGAAGGCCCCAAUGGUGAAUUGGGGUUUGACGGUACCUGCAGAGGAAGCCCCGGCUAACUCCGUGCCAGCAGCCGCGGUAAUACGGAGGGGGCAAACGUUGUUCGGAAUUACUGGGCGUAAAGCGUGCGUAGGCGGUUUGGUAAGUCUUGUGUGAAAUCUCCCCGCUCAACGGGGAACCCGCAUGGGAUACUGCUGAACUUGAGGGUGAGAGAGGCAGGUGGAAUUUCUGGUGUAGCGGUGGAAUGCGUAGAUAUCAGAAAGAACACUCGUGGCGAAGGCGGCCUGCUGGCUCAUCCCUGACGCUGAGGUACGAAAGCCAGGGGAGCGAACGGGAUUAGAUACCCCGGUAGUCCUGGCCGUAAACGGUGAACACUAGAUGUCGGGGGUAUCGACCCCCUCGGUGUCGGAGCUAACGCAUUAAGUGUUCCGCCUGGGGAGUACGACCGCAAGGUUGAAACUCAAAGGAAUUGACGGGUCCCCGCACAAGCGGUGGAGGAUGCGGUUUAAUUCGACGCGACGCGAAGAACCUUACCAGGGCUUAAACAGCAGGGUAAACCCCUCGAAAGAGGGGCUGCUUCGGCAAUCCUGUAGAGGUGCUGCAUGGCAGUCGUCAGCUCGUGUCGUGAGAUGUUGGGUUAAGUCCCGCAACGAGCGCAACCCUUGUCUUUAGUUGCCAGCGCGUAAUGGCGGGAACUCUAGAGAGACUGCCGCCGUAAGGCGGAGGAAGGUGGGGAUGACGUCAUGUCCUCAUGGCCCUUAUGUCCUGGGCUACACGCGUCCUACAAUGGUCGGUACAGCGAGUCGCAAUGCCGCGAGGUGGAGCUAAUCUCACAAAGCCGGCCCCAGUUCGGAUUGUAGUCUGCAACUCGACUACAUGAAGGCGGAAUCGCUAGUAAUCGUGGAUCAGCACGCCACGGUGAAUACGUUCCCGGGGAUUGUACACACCGCCCGUCACAUCACGAAAGUCGGUUGUACUUGAAGUCGCUGAGCCAACCCGCAAGGGAGGCAGGUGCCGAUGGUAUGAUCGGUAAUUGGGAUGAAGUC